This 548-nucleotide ribosomal RNA is filed under the name uncultured bacterium. RNAcentral describes it as "bacterial SSU rRNA". It matches the Rfam family "Bacterial small subunit ribosomal RNA", at positions 567 to 1116 of the family's 1533-position model. The record is from RNAcentral.
GCUCGUAGGCGGCCAGUUGCGUCCGCUGUGAAAUCCCGGGGCUUAACCCCGGGCGUGCAGUGGAUACGGGCUGGCUAGAGGCAGGCAGGGGAGAACGGAAUUCCCGGUGUAGCGGUGAAAUGCGCAGAUAUCGGGAGGAACACCGGUGGCGAAGGCGGUUCUCUGGGCCUGUACUGACGCUGAGGAGCGAAAGCGUGGGGAGCGAACAGGAUUAGAUACCCUGGUAGUCCACGCCGUAAACGUUGGGCGCUAGGUGUGGGUCCCUUCCACGGGGUCUGUGCCGCAGCUAACGCAUUAAGCGCCCCGCCUGGGGAGUACGGCCGCAAGGCUAAAACUCAAAGAAAUUGACGGGGGCCCGCACAAGCGGCGGAGCAUGUUGCUUAAUUCGACGCAACGCGAAGAACCUUACCAAGGUUUGACAUGGCCGGAAAACUCAUGGAGACAUGGGGUCCUUCGGGGCCGGUCACAGGUGGUGCAUGGCUGUCGUCAGCUCGUGUCGUGAGAUGUUGGGUUAAGUCCCGCAACGAGCGCAACUCUCGUCCAAUGUU